CAAGCUUAGUACAUAACACAUCCCAACCCCGUGGGUCCUGUGCCACCCGGGGAAGGAGAGACCCAGCCAUUUUCUCUGAUGAGGAAAAACAUAGUGUUCUAACAGUGUGAGUCUGUGGGUGGUAUCCAACUAAAUAAUUGCACUCAGGCAAGAAUCGCUGCUGGUGCAAUGGGACUUUCUUUGCUCUCCACCCCUAUGCAGACCACCACCUUAUCUGCUCCAGAAAGUUGGGGGAACCCCCAGAACAGAUUUAGGGGGCAGGUGGUGGGAGGAGAGGGGGAGAACAUCCCACUGCACAUGGAGAAAUCCUUGUGCUGAUGGCACCCUAGCCUUCACCUGUGGUUUAGUGGUUAGAGUGUCAGACCAAGACUUGGGAGAUCAGGGUUUAAAUUAACCAUGAAGCUCACCGGCUAGUCAUGGUCUCCCAGCUUAACCUACCUCACAGAGUUGUUGUGAGGAUAAAAUAGGGGGAACCACAUACACCACCUUGAGUUCCAUAGAGUAAAAGGUGUGAUGGAGAGACUGACUGGCUGAAAUGUCCCCAAACCCUGAGGUUUAAUUCAAACCCCUUCUGUAGCCCCUAUACCUGACUCCUCCACAAAACCCUUUCUCAAUCUCCUUUGUCCAUGUGCUCUGCUUGUGUUUUGUACCAGCCCAGCCUUUCCCAGCCUGGUGCCCUGCAGAUAUUUUGGACCACACCAUCCAUCAGCUCCAGCAAACCAUGCUGAUUGGGAAUGAUGGGAGCUGUAGUCCAAAAUAUCUAUCUGGAGGGCACCAGGUUGAGGAGGUCUGUAUUGGCAUGAAGCAAGGCUGGGAGAUAAGAAUAACAGAAUGCUUCAUAUCUGUUUGCCCUGAUGCUUUCAUUGAUACCCAAUGAGGUCAUUUUGUGAGGCUUUACAAAAUAGAUCACCUUGCCCUUUGCAGGGCAAAAUCAUCUUGAGGUCGUUUCCCCACCCCACAUUAUUCAGCAGCCUAAGCCAUCAUCAGUAACCUUCUAAAUAGAGCAGUGACAAACUGCUUUGACAGAAUGACAUUUCCGACAGAUGGCAACAUCAUGCUAAUUCUACUUGGAACAUCUUUCCUCCUCUGAGAGCAUUCCAAAAUUUAGGUGCAUAUUAAAAGACCACAGUUUGCAAAGUGUUGCUGAACAUUCCAAUAAUACGCAGUUUAAGCAUUUUUUAAAAAGAGAAAAGAACACAGCCUCCAGGGAACUUGCCGUCAUCUGUCAAAAUGCAAAGGGAGGUGGGGGAGGGAGGAGCUUUGUUGACUUGUUUGUGAUUUGAUUUCUUAGAUGGAGUCUGCGGGGUAAAGGCACUCAUCAGCUGCACCAAACAGUGAUUCUCAGCUGAAUGCAAUGUGUUGGAGAUCUGUGUUUACAGUGAAUAAUGCAGUCCACCAGUUACCAUGAGCACAAUUAAAAAUAUGCAUGCACACAUAAACAAACAGGUACAAGGG
Molecule: non-coding RNA, 1455 nt
Organism: Podarcis lilfordi (Lilford's wall lizard)
Lineage: Eukaryota; Metazoa; Chordata; Lepidosauria; Squamata; Lacertidae
Source: the annotation of a GenBank genome assembly